AUGCCCUGCUGCAGAAACACCCCAUUGCAUAAAUACCUCAUUGUGGCAAUACCCCGCUGCAGUCACAGCCGCAGCAGAAACAGCCCGCAGCACGGGGCGGGCAGCGCCCGGCACAGCCCCGCAGCUCUGCGGCACUCCUUGCACCGGGGAAAUCCCCUGCCAAAGGUAGCGAAAGCACAGUGUUGCCCCACGGAGCCAGACUGCUUAAUCCCCAGGCACUGCCUGUCCCAGCGCCCCAUCCAGCCCCACCAGCCCGGCAGGAAGGACACUGAAAUGAUGUCAGACCAACGAGGACCUGAUCCUGUGGUGCAGACUGGUGCGCAACUCAGCAUCUUUGCGGUGAGAGACCACUUCCCCAGCACAGAGCAGUGCUCAUCUGCAUCAAGACAUGGAAGCAGUGUGCAAGUCAGAGUGCACCUCAGCAAAAUGCAGUGGAAGUGCUCAGGUCCCAUUGUGAAACCCAUGCAGCGGUAUUAGAGUGUCUCUGGAUGACUUAAUGCUAUUCAGACUCCUCUGAUCAUGCCUUCCUUCUCCUAGACAAAUUCUCUGUUGUGCAACUCCUUCAGCAUUCCCCAGCCCAGCACAAGUCACUGCUCAGAAAGUGAUGUUUGUGGGCUGCUGCUUGUCAGUACCUCCUCCUCUGUGCUGCGGAGCAGAGUGGGUCAGUAUGUUUCCAAAUCACGUCGCUUAAAUAAGAGACAGGUUCUAUCAUGUUGUAUGGGGUAAUGAAGGGCCUCUGUCCAUCAGUGAUCCAAGCAGUGGCUUUGUUCUGAAUAUCUUCAUGUCUUCAGAAGCCACAGCCUCCGCGGGAGUCUUUCCAAUGCCAAACAAUUGCAGUAAACUUUCUCUUCAAAACAAUUUGCAAAUGUGAAAAAAAUCAAAAGUAACCACCGACAGUGGUUACUGGGGUGUGGCCAGCGUAUGACCCCUUUUGACUUUCAGGGUGGAGAAGCCAACAUCCCCUCUCUGCAUCCUGGCUUCUUUUUCACUGAAAAAGGCAGUGUGUGAUUGCUGUUCCUGCUUUGCAUAAAUCAAAAGAUCUAGCUCUGUGGAUCUUGCGUGGGGUAUUUCCUAUAAAAAGCACAUCUGUGGCCAUGCUUUUUAGUGCAAUAGACUCGAGCCUGGAAGCAAAAGUACACAAACAAAUGUUGAAUUCAUGCUGACUGGAGUAGAUUCCAAGGGAAAGAAGAGUUGGGAAAGCACCUACUUAAGUACUGACUAAGGAUGUUAUCUCUGAUCAGAAUCUAGCCUCUGUGUGUGUGUGACUGUUGAGUACACAGUGCGGUUUCAGACAUGGCCAGAGACAAGAAAAAAUGAUUGUUUCAGGGUAACCACAAGGAAGAUGAAUGCAAAUGUAUUCCUGUAACUGGG
This 1371-nucleotide long non-coding RNA is filed under the name Numida meleagris (helmeted guineafowl). RNAcentral describes it as "lncRNA (ENSNMEG00000006280.1)". The record is from RNAcentral. Lineage: Eukaryota; Metazoa; Chordata; Aves; Galliformes; Numididae.